GCUCGUAGUCGGAUGUCGGGCUUGGGCAGGCUGUCGGCGUUUGUCGGACGGCAGGCUCGGGCCUUUCUGCCUGGGGACCUUGUUGCACUUCAUUGUGGGGCAAUGGGACGCAGGCCGUUUACUUUGAAAAAAUUAGAGUGUUCAAAGCAGGCCUACGCUUGAAUACAUUAGCAUGGAAUAAUGGAAUAGGACUUUGGUGCCAUUCUGUUGGUUUAUGGAACCGAAGUAAUGAUUAAUAGGGACAGUUGGGGCCGUUUAUAUUUCGUUGUCAGAGGUGAAAUUCUUGGAUUUACGAAAGAUAAACUUCUGCGAAAGCAUUCGGCAAGGAUGUUUUCAUUGAUCAAGAACGAAAGUUAGGGGAUCGAAGACGAUCAGAUACCGUCGUAGUCUUAACCAUAAACUAUGCCGACUAGGGAUCAGUGGAUGUCAAUUUGCGACUCCAUUGGCACCUUGUGAGAAAUCAAAGUUUUUGGGUUCCGGGGGGAGUAUGGUCGCAAGGCUGAAACUUAAAGGAAUUGACGGAAGGGCACCACCAGGAGUGGAGCCUGCGGCUUAAUUUGACUCAACACGGGGAAACUCACCAGGUCCAGACAUAGUAAGGAUUGACAGAUUGAAAGCUCUUUCUUGAUUCUAUGGGUGGUGGUGCAUGG
Molecule: ribosomal RNA, 650 nt
Filed under: Pyrenomonadales sp. RCC2341
Lineage: Eukaryota; Cryptophyceae; Pyrenomonadales
Description: SSU rRNA
Rfam family: Eukaryotic small subunit ribosomal RNA
Source: RNAcentral